UGAAGGGAGAGUCUGUGCAGUGGCACCUGCGCGAAGCUGGCCAAAGCCUGCCCAGACGGCUCACCUGUGCGGGAUGGAACAAAAGGUCGGCUUGAGGUUUGCGAGUCCCAGCUCCCACUGCCCCUGCCACCUGCCUUUCCCUUCUCAGGACAUACACAGGACUGGGAGAAAAUAGACUAAGCUGGAGUACAAUGGCAUGAUCAUGGCUCACUGCAACC
RNAcentral lists this long non-coding RNA (218 nucleotides) under Homo sapiens (human). Its description in RNAcentral is "HSALNT0331386". The record is from RNAcentral. Lineage: Eukaryota; Metazoa; Chordata; Mammalia; Primates; Hominidae.